This 531-nucleotide ribosomal RNA is filed under the name uncultured bacterium. Its description in RNAcentral is "SSU rRNA". It matches the Rfam family "Bacterial small subunit ribosomal RNA", at positions 242 to 789 of the family's 1533-position model. The record is from RNAcentral.
CAGGUAGUUGGUGAGGUAACGGCUCACCAAGCCAACGACGGGUAGGGGGCCUGAGAGGGUGGUCCCCCACACUGGGACUGACAAACGGCCCAGACUCCUACGGGAGGCAGCAGUAAGGGAUAUUGCACAAUGGGCGCAAGCCUGAUGCAGCAACGCCGCGUGCAGGAUGACGGCCUUCGGGUUGUAAACUGCUUUUCCGGGUGACGAGGAAGGACGGUAGCCCGGGAAGAAGUCACGGCUAACUACGUGCCAGCAGCCGCGGUAAAACGUAGGUGGCAAGCGUUAUCCGGAUUUACUGGGCGUAAAGCGUGUGCAGAUGGAUUGCCAAGUGAUGUAUGAAAGCGGCCGGCUCAACCGGUCAAGGGUAUGUCAGACUGGCAGUCUAGAGAGUGAGAGAGGGUUGUGGAAUUCCGGGUGUAGUGGUGAAAUGCGUAGAGAUCCGGAGGAACACCAGAGGCGAAGGCGGCAACCUGGCUCAUAUCUGACAUUCCGACACGACAGCAUGGGGAGCGAACGGGAUUAAAAACCCCG